AGCGAACGCUGGCGGCAGGCCUAACACAUGCAAGUCGAACGAACUCUUCGGAGUUAGUGGCGGACGGGUGAGUAACACGUGGGAACGUGCCUUUUGGUUCGGAAUAACUCAGGGAAACUUGUGCUAAUACCGAAUGUGCCCUUCGGGGGAAAGAUUUAUCGCCAUUAGAGCGGCCCGCGUCUGAUUAGCUAGUUGGUGAGGUAACGGCUCACCAAGGCGACGAUCAGUAGCUGGUCUGAGAGGAUGACCAGCCACACUGGGACUGAGACACGGCCCAGACUACUACGGGAGGCAGCAGUGGGGAAUCUUGCGAAAUGGGCGAAAGGCUGACGCAGCCAUGCCGCGUGAAUGAUGAAGGUCUUAGGAUUGUAAAAUUCUUUCACCGGGGACGAUAAUGACGGUACCCGGAGAAGAAGCCCCGGCUAACUUCGUG
Molecule: ribosomal RNA, 433 nt
Filed under: uncultured bacterium
Lineage: Bacteria
Description: partial 16S ribosomal RNA
Rfam family: Bacterial small subunit ribosomal RNA
Source: RNAcentral